Molecule: ribosomal RNA, 403 nt
Filed under: uncultured bacterium
Lineage: Bacteria
Description: bacterial SSU rRNA
Rfam family: Bacterial small subunit ribosomal RNA
Source: RNAcentral
GUGGGGAAUAUUGGACAAUGGGGGAAACCCUGAUCCAGCAAUGCCGCGUGAGUGAAGAAGGCCUUAGGGUUGUAAAGCUCUUUCGCCCGCGAAGAUAAUGACGGUAGCGGGAGAAGAAGCCCCGGCUAACUCCGUGCCAGCAGCCGCGGUAAUACGGAGGGGGCUAGCGUUGUUCGGAAUUACUGGGCGUAAAGCGUACGUAGGCGGAUGCGCAAGUUGGGGGUGAAAUCCCGGGGCUUGACCUCGGAAUUGCCCUCAAAACUGCACGUCUUGAGACCGAGAGAGGUAAGGGGAAUUCCUAGUGUAGAGGUGAAAUUCGUAGAUAUUAGGAAGAACACCAGUGGCGAAGGCGCCUUACUGGCUCGGUACUGACGCUGAGGUACGAAAGCGUGGGGAGCAAACA